This 2906-nucleotide ribosomal RNA is filed under the name Escherichia coli. RNAcentral's name for it is "23S ribosomal RNA". It matches the Rfam family "Bacterial large subunit ribosomal RNA". Lineage: Bacteria; Pseudomonadati; Pseudomonadota; Gammaproteobacteria; Enterobacterales; Enterobacteriaceae. The record is from RNAcentral.
GGUUAAGCGACUAAGCGUACACGGUGGAUGCCCUGGCAGUCAGAGGCGAUGAAGGACGUGCUAAUCUGCGAUAAGCGUCGGUAAGGUGAUAUGAACCGUUAUAACCGGCGAUUUCCGAAUGGGGAAACCCAGUGUGAUUCGUCACACUAUCAUUAACUGAAUCCAUAGGUUAAUGAGGCGAACCGGGGGAACUGAAACAUCUAAGUACCCCGAGGAAAAGAAAUCAACCGAGAUUCCCCCAGUAGCGGCGAGCGAACGGGGAGGAGCCCAGAGCCUGAAUCAGUGUGUGUGUUAGUGGAAGCGUCUGGAAAGGCGCGCGAUACAGGGUGACAGCCCCGUACACAAAAAUGCACAUGCUGUGAGCUCGAUGAGUAGGGCGGGACACGUGGUAUCCUGUCUGAAUAUGGGGGGACCAUCCUCCAAGGCUAAAUACUCCUGACUGACCGAUAGUGAACCAGUACCGUGAGGGAAAGGCGAAAAGAACCCCGGCGAGGGGAGUGAAAAAGAACCUGAAACCGUGUACGUACAAGCAGUGGGAGCACAGAGCAAUCUGUGUGACUGCGUACCUUUUGUAUAAUGGGUCAGCGACUUAUAUUCUGUAGCAAGGUUAACCGAAUAGGGGAGCCGAAGGGAAACCGAGUCUUAACUGGGCGUUAAGUUGCAGGGUAUAGACCCGAAACCCGGUGAUCUAGCCAUGGGCAGGUUGAAGGUUGGGUAACACUAACUGGAGGACCGAACCGACUAAUGUUGAAAAAUUAGCGGAUGACUUGUGGCUGGGGGUGAAAGGCCAAUCAAACCGGGAGAUAGCUGGUUCUCCCCGAAAGCUAUUUAGGUAGCGCCUCGUGAAUUCAUCUCCGGGGGUAGAGCACUGUUUCGGCAAGGGGGUCAUCCCGACUUACCAACCCGAUGCAAACUGCGAAUACCGGAGAAUGUUAUCACGGGAGACACACGGCGGGUGCUAACGUCCGUCGUGAAGAGGGAAACAACCCAGACCGCCAGCUAAGGUCCCAAAGUCAUGGUUAAGUGGGAAACGAUGUGGGAAGGCCCAGACAGCCAGGAUGUUGGCUUAGAAGCAGCCAUCAUUUAAAGAAAGCGUAAUAGCUCACUGGUCGAGUCGGCCUGCGCGGAAGAUGUAACGGGGCUAAACCAUGCACCGAAGCUGCGGCAGCGACGCUGAUGCGUUGUUGGGUAGGGGAGCGUUCUGUAAGCCUGCGAAGGUGUGCUGUGAGGCAUGCUGGAGGUAUCAGAAGUGCGAAUGCUGACAUAAGUAACGAUAAAGCGGGUGAAAAGCCCGCUCGCCGGAAGACCAAGGGUUCCUGUCCAACGUUAAUCGGGGCAGGGUGAGUCGACCCCUAAGGCGAGGCCGAAAGGCGUAGUCGAUGGGAAACAGGUUAAUAUUCCUGUACUUGGUGUUACUGCGAAGGGGGGACGGAGAAGGCUAUGUUGGCCGGGCGACGGUUGUCCCGGUUUAAGCGUGUAGGCUGGUUUUCCAGGCAAAUCCGGAAAAUCAAGGCUGAGGCGUGAUGACGAGGCACUACGGUGCUGAAGCAACAAAUGCCCUGCUUCCAGGAAAAGCCUCUAAGCAUCAGGUAACAUCAAAUCGUACCCCAAACCGACACAGGUGGUCAGGUAGAGAAUACCAAGGCGCUUGAGAGAACUCGGGUGAAGGAACUAGGCAAAAUGGUGCCGUAACUUCGGGAGAAGGCACGCUGAUAUGUAGGUGAAGUCCCUCGCGGAUGGAGCUGAAAUCAGUCGAAGAUACCAGCUGGCUGCAACUGUUUAUUAAAAACACAGCACUGUGCAAACACGAAAGUGGACGUAUACGGUGUGACGCCUGCCCGGUGCCGGAAGGUUAAUUGAUGGGGUUAGCGCAAGCGAAGCUCUUGAUCGAAGCCCCGGUAAACGGCGGCCGUAACUAUAACGGUCCUAAGGUAGCGAAAUUCCUUGUCGGGUAAGUUCCGACCUGCACGAAUGGCGUAAUGAUGGCCAGGCUGUCUCCACCCGAGACUCAGUGAAAUUGAACUCGCUGUGAAGAUGCAGUGUACCCGCGGCAAGACGGAAAGACCCCGUGAACCUUUACUAUAGCUUGACACUGAACAUUGAGCCUUGAUGUGUAGGAUAGGUGGGAGGCUUUGAAGUGUGGACGCCAGUCUGCAUGGAGCCGACCUUGAAAUACCACCCUUUAAUGUUUGAUGUUCUAACGUGGACCCGUAAUCCGGGUUGCGGACAGUGUCUGGUGGGUAGUUUGACUGGGGCGGUCUCCUCCUAAAGAGUAACGGAGGAGCACGAAGGUUGGCUAAUCCUGGUCGGACAUCAGGAGGUUAGUGCAAUGGCAUAAGCCAGCUUGACUGCGAGCGUGACGGCGCGAGCAGGUGCGAAAGCAGGUCAUAGUGAUCCGGUGGUUCUGAAUGGAAGGGCCAUCGCUCAACGGAUAAAAGGUACUCCGGGGAUAACAGGCUGAUACCGCCCAAGAGUUCAUAUCGACGGCGGUGUUUGGCACCUCGAUGUCGGCUCAUCACAUCCUGGGGCUGAAGUAGGUCCCAAGGGUAUGGCUGUUCGCCAUUUAAAGUGGUACGCGAGCUGGGUUUAGAACGUCGUGAGACAGUUCGGUCCCUAUCUGCCGUGGGCGCUGGAGAACUGAGGGGGGCUGCUCCUAGUACGAGAGGACCGGAGUGGACGCAUCACUGGUGUUCGGGUUGUCAUGCCAAUGGCACUGCCCGGUAGCUAAAUGCGGAAGAGAUAAGUGCUGAAAGCAUCUAAGCACGAAACUUGCCCCGAGAUGAGUUCUCCCUGACUCCUUGAGAGUCCUGAAGGAACGUUGAAGACGACGACGUUGAUAGGCCGGGUGUGUAAGCGCAGCGAUGCGUUGAGCUAACCGGUACUAAUGAACCGUGAGGCUUAACCUU